UGCGCAGGCGGUUGUGUAAGACAGAUGUGAAAGCCCACGGCUCAACCGUGGAGGGUCAUUGGAAACUGGAGAACUUGAGUACAGAAGAGGAAAGCGGAAUUCCACGUGUAGCGGUGAAAUGCGUAGAGAUGUGGAGGAACACCAGUGGCGAAGGCGGCUUUCUGGUCUGUAACUGACGCUGAGGCGCGAAAGCGUGGGGAGCAAACAGGAUUAGAUACCCUGGUA
This 225-nucleotide ribosomal RNA is filed under the name uncultured Sporosarcina sp. Its description in RNAcentral is "partial 16S ribosomal RNA". It matches the Rfam family "Bacterial small subunit ribosomal RNA", at positions 568 to 792 of the family's 1533-position model. The record is from RNAcentral. Lineage: Bacteria; Bacillati; Bacillota; Bacilli; Caryophanales; Caryophanaceae.